AGUAAGAUGGUCGAGUGUUGAGUCGUUAGGUUGUAAACCUUUUUACAGAGGUUUAAUUCCUCUUCUUACUA
Molecule: transfer RNA, 71 nt
Filed under: Pelusios castaneus (West African mud turtle)
Lineage: Eukaryota; Metazoa; Chordata; Testudines; Pelomedusidae
Description: tRNA-Tyr
Rfam family: tRNA
About the family: Transfer RNA (tRNA) molecules are approximately 80 nucleotides in length. Their secondary structure includes four short double-helical elements and three loops (D, anti-codon, and T loops).
Source: RNAcentral